ACUUGAAAGAGGACCUGGCAGCUGUGUUUAGUCACGGCCCUGGGUUAAAUGACCUCUCAGGCAAAGUCUCAAUGCAGUAAAGACAAAGUGGGGGUGCUUGGGUGGAAUGGGGGUGGGGGUCUAAACCCUCGCCCUUCCUCCCCCCACCCGCCCUUAGGGGAGGGGCUCUCCAAGCGCUGCUCCACGUGGAACAUUCUGAGAAUCCCCCAGGGCCUGGGGCCGCUGGGGUGUGGGAGGGCGGGGAGAGAGCGUGCGCCCUGCACAGUGAGGUCGUGGCGCCCGGCACCUGCCACCUGUGACUGGGAUGAAGGGCUCGAUCAGAACCUGUCUGCCGGUUUCCCCGUGCGACGAUUAACCACCACCCCCUCCAUAACCCGUGUGUUUUCCAGAUGACGUAACUACGGCUUUGGGAUGUUACGCAACGAGUAAGGCCUUGUGAGUCUUCACAGAAAGGGACUGGCCUGGAGGCUCCGAGCGGUCAGCUAGUUCCCGUCACUGUUCUCCCCGGGAAGCUGUGGAUGGGCAGUGACCCAGGCAGGGAAAGGGAGAUAGAGAUGAAUCUACAAAAUGGAAAAAGUGUUGAACUUGGGAGUCAAGAGACCAGGAUUCUAGUUCUGAUGAUGCCCUUCACAUACCGAAUGCCCUGGGGAAGCCGCUUCCCUUCUCUCAGCCUUGGGUUCUCCAUGUGUCAAAUUAGGCUGUGGAAAAAGAAACACUCAUCUGGCUGAACGGAGACAUGAGCCUCUGUAAACUGAUUCUUCCUCCACAAAGGGGCCCUGGCCCUCACAGCCCCAUCCUCUUUCAUCCUUGCUGCCUGAUCCUAGGGAAGCUUUGCUCUGGUGGUGCCUGGAGCUGUGAUGUAUGCAGUCAUUUGAAACCCCAGCUUUGUGGAAGACACGAGACAUUGAUUUUUACUCUACCAUUUGGAGAAAAAUCAUUUUUAUAUUAGCAGAAAUGUUGAUAGACAAGGAGCAAAGUUUAAGGUUGGAAUGACUUUAAGAUUCAUUCAUUUUUUAAAAAUUUAUACUUAUUGAGUGCUUACUAUGUGCCAGCCCUGUCCUAGGCCCUUGGGGACUGGUUGGUAAAUAAAGCAGAUAGAGUAGUCGAUAAUGCCUGAUAUAGUUUGGAUGACUGUCCCCUCCAAAUCUCAUGUUGAAAUGUAAUCCCAAUAUUGGAGGCGGGGCUUGGUGGGAGGUGUUUGGGUCUCGUGGGUGGACCCUCAUGAAUGGCUGGGUGCUGUCCUAGAGGCGGUGAGUGCGUUCUCAUGAGAUCUGGUUGUCUAAAAACAUGUGGCACCUGCCCCCUCUCUCUCUCGCUUCCACUCUCACCAUGUGACACCCAGCUCCUGCUUCACCUUCCACUGUGAUUAAAAGCUUUCUGAGGCCCUCACCAGAUGCUGAUGCCAGCACUAUGCUCCCUGUACAGUCUGUAGGACCAUGAGCCAAUUAAACUUUUUUUUCUUUUCUUUUCUCUUCUCUUCUCUUCUUCUCUUUUCUUUUUGAGAUGGAGCCUUGCUCUGUCACCCAGGCUGGAGUGCAGUAGCGCCAUCUCAGCUCACUCCAACUUCUGCCUCCUGGGUUCAAGCGAUUCUCCUGCCUCAGCCUCCCAAGUAGCUGGGACUACAUGUGUGUGCUACCACGACCAGCUAAUUUUUUAUGGGUUUCACCAUGUUAGCCAGGAUGGUCUCAAUCUCCUGACCUCGUGAUCCACCCUCCUCGGCCUCCCAACGUGCUGGGAUUAUAGGCGUGAGCCACUGCACCCAGCCAAUUUCUAGUGUUUUCUUUUGAUUCUUUCUUAGAGUUUCCAUCUCUGAGCUUACAUUAACUCUAUGUCCUUGCAGUAGAAUCCUGCAUGUAUUAAUCAUAGUCAUUUUAAAUUCCCUGUCUGAUCAUUCCAGCAUUUGCAUCAUAUCCAGAUCUGGUUCUGGUGCUUGCUCAUUUCUUCAGACUUUGCUUUUUCUUGCCUUUUAGCAUAGCUUAUAACAUUUUUUGAAAGCCAAAAAUGAUGUAAUUGAGUAAUAGAAACUGAUGUAAAUAGCCCAUCAGUGUGAGAUUUAUGUUAAUCUGGCUAGAAGUUGGGCCAUGUAUAAUGUUUUCUGUAUGCUGGGGCUUAGAAACCAAUACCCCAAAAUACGGCAUUUUGACAUGCUGAGCUGAAGAAGCUUCCAGGUCUCUCUGACCUCCCUCAUCACUUUCUCUGCCAUAUAACUUGAAGUUCCUUUAUCUGCCUAUCUACUGUGGAAAAUGAGUCCAACAACCUAAGCACACCUGAACAGACACGUUACAGGUACAGUGACUGUCUCAGAGUCCUGAAUCGAUUCACUCUUCCUAGUAAUCCUCUCAAGAGAAUUCCUCUUCUGCCCGCUACCAUAGCCUGUUUGAUCAGGAUGCAAGCCCCCAUUCUAUCGGUAACCUCGAGAUGGUAUACAAGCUUUUGUACAUCACUGGGAGGUUGGGUCUUCAUUCUGAAGGCUCCCAUGUAUACACAUUAAAUAAAUCUGUAUGCCUUUUCUCCCAUU
RNAcentral lists this long non-coding RNA (2518 nucleotides) under Homo sapiens (human). RNAcentral's name for it is "HSALNT0067550". The record is from RNAcentral. Lineage: Eukaryota; Metazoa; Chordata; Mammalia; Primates; Hominidae.